ACGGGUGAGUAAUGCUUAGGAAUCUGCCUAUUAGUGGGGGGCAACAUUCCGAAAGGAAUGCUAAUACCGCAUACGCCCUACGGGGGAAAGCAGGGGAUCUUCGGACCUUGCGCUAAUAGAUGAGCCUAAGUCAGAUUAGCUAGUUGGUGGGGUAAAGGCCUACCAAGGCGACGAUCUGUAGCGGGUCUGAGAGGAUGAUCCGCCACACUGGGACUGAGACACGGCCCAGACUCCUACGGGAGGCAGCAGUGGGGAAUAUUGGACAAUGGGCGCAAGCCUGAUCCAGCCAUGCCGCGUGUGUGAAGAAGGCCUUUUGGUUGUAAAGCACUUUAAGCGAGGAGGAGGCUACUUGGAUUAAUACUCUAGGAUAGUGGACGUUACUCGCAGAAUAAGCACCGGCUAACUCUGUGCCAGCAGCCGCGGUAAUACAGAGGGUGCGAGCGUUAAUCGGAUUUACUGGGCGUAAAGCGUGCGUAGGCGGCUUUUUAAGUCGGAUGUGAAAUCCCUGAGCUUAACUUAGGAAUUGCAUUCGAUACUGGGAAGCUAGAGUAUGGGAGAGGAUGGUAGAAUUCCAGGUGUAGCGGUGA
This 587-nucleotide ribosomal RNA is filed under the name uncultured bacterium. RNAcentral describes it as "bacterial SSU rRNA". It matches the Rfam family "Bacterial small subunit ribosomal RNA", at positions 102 to 684 of the family's 1533-position model. The record is from RNAcentral.